UUCCUGUACCAGUGCUAAUUGUUUAACCGAUGGGGUGACACAGAAGGAUAGGGAAUCGCACGAAUGGAAAUGUGCGUCCAAGCAGUGAGUGUGAGAAGUAGGCAAAUCCGCUUCUCGCGAAGCAUGAGCUGUGAUGGGGAAGGAAAUUAAGUACGGAAGUUCCUGAUUUCACGCUGUCAAGAAAAGCCUCUAGGAAGAGUAGUACUGCCCGUACCGCAAACCGACACAGGUAGAUGAGGAGAGAAUCCUAAGGUGAGCGAGAGAACUCUCGUUAAGGAACUCGGCAAAAUGACCCCGUAACUUCGGGAGAAGGGGUGCUCUAUUAGGGUGCAAGCCCGAGAGAGCCGCAGUGAAUAGGCCCAGGCGACUGUUUAGCAAAAACACAGGUCUCUGCAAAACCGUAAGGUGACGUAUAGGGGCUGACGCCUGCCCGGUGCUGGAAGGUUAAGAGGAGUGCUUAGCUUCGGCGAAGGUACGAAUUGAAGCCCCAGUAAACGGCGGCCGUAACUAUAACGGUCCUAAGGUAGCGAAAUUCCUUGUCGGGUAAGUUCCGACCCGCACGAAAGGCGCAACGAUCUGGGCACUGUCUCAACGAGAGACUCGGUGAAAUUAUAGUACCUGUGAAGAUGCAGGUUACCCGCGACAGGACGGAAAGACCCCGUGGAGCUUUACUGCAACCUGAUAUGGAAUGUUUGUACCGCUUGUACAGGAUAGGUAGGAGCCGAAGAGACGUGUGCGCUAGCAUACGAGGAGGCAAUGGUGGGAUACUACCCUGGCUGUAUGACCAUUCUAACCCGCCACGCUUAGCGCGUGGGGAGACAGUGUCAGGUGGGCAGUUUGACUGGGGCGGUCGCCUCCUAAAGAG
This 865-nucleotide ribosomal RNA is filed under the name Listeria monocytogenes. Its description in RNAcentral is "partial 23S ribosomal RNA". It matches the Rfam family "Bacterial large subunit ribosomal RNA", at positions 1436 to 2297 of the family's 2925-position model. Lineage: Bacteria; Bacillati; Bacillota; Bacilli; Caryophanales; Listeriaceae. The record is from RNAcentral.